Molecule: ribosomal RNA, 17 nt
Filed under: Jacquemontia obcordata
Lineage: Eukaryota; Viridiplantae; Streptophyta; Magnoliopsida; Solanales; Convolvulaceae
Description: partial 26S ribosomal RNA
Source: RNAcentral
AACCCCAGGUCAGGCGG